AGCAGCCGCGGUAAUUCCAGCUCCAAUAGCGUAUAUUAAAGUUGUUGCAGUUAAAAAGCUCGUAGUUGAAUUUCGGGGUUAGUAGGUUGGUCAUGCCUCUGGUAUGUACUGGUCUCACUGAUUCCUCCUUCCUGAUGAGCCGUAAUGCCAUUAAUUUGGUGUUGCGGGGAAUCUGGACUGUUACUUUGAAAAAAUUAGAGUGUUUAAAGCAAGCUAACGCUUGAAUACAUUAGCAUGGAAUAAUGAAAUAGGACGUUCGAUCCUAUUUUGUUGGUUUCUAGGAUUGACGUAAUGAUUAAUAGGGAUAGUUGGGGGCAUUAGUAUUCAAUUGUCAGAGGUGAAAUUCUUGGAUUUAUUGAAGACUAACUACUGCGAAAGCAUUUGCCAAGGAUGUUUUCAUUAAUCAAGAAUGAAAGUUAGGGGAUCGAAGACGAUCAGAUACCGUCGUAGUCUUAACCAUAAACUAUGCCGACUAGGGACCGGAUGAUGUUAAUUUUUUAAUGACUCAUUCGGCGCCUUA
This 520-nucleotide unclassified non-coding RNA is filed under the name uncultured Glomus. RNAcentral's name for it is "SSU rRNA". It matches the Rfam family "Eukaryotic small subunit ribosomal RNA", at positions 569 to 1090 of the family's 1831-position model. The record is from RNAcentral. Lineage: Eukaryota; Fungi; Glomeromycota; Glomeromycetes; Glomerales; Glomeraceae.